GACGAACGCUGGCGGCGUGCUUAACACAUGCAAGUCGAACGGAAAGGCCCCUUUGGGGGUACUCGAGUGGCGAACGGGUGAGUAACACGUGAGUAACCUGCCCUUGACUUCGGGAUAACUUCAGGAAACUGGGGCUAAUACCGGAUAGGAAUCCUUGCUGCAUGGUGGGGGUUGGAAAGCUUCGGCGGUUUUGGGUGGACUCGCGGCUUAUCAGCUUGUUGGUGGGGUAGUGGCUUACCAAGGCUUUGACGGGUAGCCGGCCUGAGAGGGCGACCGGCCACAUUGGGACUUAGAUACGGCCCAGACUCCUACGGGAGGCAGCAGUGGGGAAUAUUGCACAAUGGGCGGAAGCCUGAUGCAGCAACGCCGCGUGCGGGAUGACCGCCUUCGGGUUGUAAACCGCUUUCAGCAGGGGCGAAGCUUUUGGUGACGGUACCUGCAGAAGAAGCACCGGCUAACUACGUG
RNAcentral lists this ribosomal RNA (465 nucleotides) under uncultured bacterium. Its description in RNAcentral is "partial 16S ribosomal RNA". It matches the Rfam family "Bacterial small subunit ribosomal RNA", at positions 28 to 507 of the family's 1533-position model. The record is from RNAcentral.